Molecule: ribosomal RNA, 253 nt
Filed under: uncultured bacterium
Lineage: Bacteria
Description: partial 16S ribosomal RNA
Rfam family: Bacterial small subunit ribosomal RNA
Source: RNAcentral
UACGGAGGGUGCAAGCGUUAUCCGGAUUCACUGGGUUUAAAGGGUGCGUAGGCGGAUAUGUAAGUCCGUGGUGAAAUCUCUGGGCUUAACCCGGAAACUGCCAUGGAUACUAUGUGUCUUGAAUGUUGUUGAGGUGAGCGGAAUAUGUCAUGUAGCGGUGAAAUGCUUAGAUAUGACAUAGAACACCAAUUGCGAAGGCAGCUCACUAAGCAAAUAUUGACGCUGAGGCACGAAAGCGUGGGGAUCAAGCAGG